AUGAACGCUGGCGGCAUGCCUUACACAUGCAAGUCGAACGGCAGCACGGGAGCAAUCCUGGUGGCGAGUGGCGAACGGGUGAGUAAUAUAUCGGAACGUGCCCAGUCGUGGGGGAUAACGUAGCGAAAGCUACGCUAAUACCGCAUACGAUCUAUGGAUGAAAGAGGGGGAUCGCAAGACCUCGCGCGAUUGGAGCGGCCGAUAUCAGAUUAGGUAGUUGGUGAGGUAAAGGCUCACCAAGCCAACGAUCUGUAGCUGGUCUGAGAGGACGACCAGCCACACUGGAACUGAGACACGGUCCAGACUCCUACGGGAGGCAGCAGUGGGGAAUUUUGGACAAUGGACGCAAGUCUGAUCCAGCCAUUCCGCGUGCAGGAUGAAGGCCCUCGGGUUGUAAACUGCUUUGUACGGAACGAAAGGUUUGUCUUAAUACGAUGAGCUCAUGACGGUACCGUAAGAAUAAGCACCGGCUAACUACGUG
RNAcentral lists this ribosomal RNA (481 nucleotides) under uncultured bacterium. Its description in RNAcentral is "bacterial SSU rRNA". It matches the Rfam family "Bacterial small subunit ribosomal RNA", at positions 29 to 507 of the family's 1533-position model. The record is from RNAcentral.